AACAGGCGAGCGAUCGUAACCUGUUCGAGAAGGAUGAUCAGUCACCCCGGGAACUGAAGAACACGUUCGGACUCCUACGGGGAAGGCAGCAGUGGGGAAUAUCGACAUGGGGCAUCCUGAUCCAGCCAUGCCGCGUGUGUGAAGAAGCCUUUUGGUGUAAAGCACUUAAGCAGGGAGAGAGGCUAAUGGCUAAUACUCAUUAGAUUAGACGUUACUGCAGAAUAAGCACCGGCUAACUCUGUGCCAGCAGCCGCGGUAAUACAGAGGGUGCGAGCGUUAAUCGGAAUUACUGGGCGUAAAGCGAGUGUAGGUGGCUCAUUAAGUCACAUGUGAAAUCCCCGGGGCUUAACCUGGGAACUGCAUGUGAUACUGGUGGUGCUAGAAUAUGUGAGAGGGAAGUAGAAUUCCAGGUGUAGCGGUGAAAUGCGUAGAGAUCUGGAGGAAUACCGAUGGCGAAGGCAGCUUCCUGGCAUAAUAUUGACACUGAGAUUCGAAAGCGUGGGUAGCAAACAGGAUUAGAUACCCUGGUAGUCCACGCCGUAAACGAUGUCUACUAGCCGUUGGGGUCCUUGAGACUUUAGUGGCGCAGUUAACGCGAUAAGUAGACCGCCUGGGGAGUACGGCCGCAAGGUUAAAACUCAAAUGAAUUGACGGGGGCCCGCACAAGCGGUGGAGCAUGUGGUUUAAUUCGAUGCAACGCGAAGAACCUUGCCUGGUCUUGACAUAGUGAGAAUCUUUCAGAGAUGAGAGAGUGCCUUCGGGAAUUCACAUACAGGUGCUGCAUGGCUGUCGUCAGCUCGUGUCGUGAGAUGUUGGGUUAAGUCCCGCAACGAGCGCAACCCUUUUCCUUAUUUGCCAGCGGGUUAAGCCGGGAACUUUAAGGAUACUGCCAGUGACAAACUGGAGGAAGGCGGGGACGACGUCAAGUCAUCAUGGCCCUUACGACCAGGGCUACACACGUGCUACAAUGGUAGGUACAGAGGGUUGCUACACAGCGAUGUGAUGCUAAUCUC
RNAcentral lists this ribosomal RNA (1013 nucleotides) under uncultured Gammaproteobacteria bacterium. RNAcentral's name for it is "bacterial SSU rRNA". It matches the Rfam family "Bacterial small subunit ribosomal RNA", at positions 267 to 1275 of the family's 1533-position model. The record is from RNAcentral. Lineage: Bacteria; Pseudomonadati; Pseudomonadota; Gammaproteobacteria.